Oreochromis aureus is the source of this 293-nucleotide long non-coding RNA. RefSeq lists it as uncharacterized. The record is from RefSeq and is a predicted model, not a curated record. NCBI's taxonomy places the organism in Eukaryota, Metazoa, Chordata, Actinopteri, Cichliformes, Cichlidae. The transcript has 3 exons.
AAGCUGCAUAACGUUCUUGAAUGCAGGCAAACUGACACUGAGAAGGACAAAGAAAAGUUUAAUUUCUGCACCAUGAAGAUGAUGACUGGGUUUCUGCAUGUGUGUGUCAUGAUGACUUUCACACACAGUCUCUCUGUUCCAGAGGAAACAACUGUACCAGGUGAAUAUAAAUGUUGCCUUUUAGUGGGAAUAUACUCUAUUUUGAUCCACUAGUAAAUAAUUAAAGCGAUUAAUCUACAAUACUAACUGCAACCAAAAACAUCAACUAAUGCAGAUGCAGACUGUUUGGGAAC